Molecule: long non-coding RNA, 1944 nt
Filed under: Olea europaea subsp. europaea
Lineage: Eukaryota; Viridiplantae; Streptophyta; Magnoliopsida; Lamiales; Oleaceae
Source: RNAcentral
GUAAUUCUUCUAUCAAGGGAAUAAAAUUAUUGAUAAUUGUAUAGUCCCAAAAUAGAUUUAAAUUCUCUCCUAUUUUAACUGUACCAUAAUUAUUGUAAAUCAAUGAAGAAAAGAAUAUAAUCCUUCAUGGUAUCAGAGCAUGGUACUAAAUCCAGCAGCCUCUGUUUUGUUCUAGCCGUGCUUUCUUGAGCAUUUAUUCAAACACAUGGAAGCCACUAAUGAUUUUGAGAGUCCCAGCCACCUACCACCCGAAACCAACACUCUCUUCCUAGAAUUUACAACAAAGAUGACUGAAGCUUUGAACAAAGCAUAGACACCAACCUCAACUACUAAAUCUUCACCUCAAAUCGGCAUCAAAUUGGACGGUUCCAACUACGCCCUAUGGUCUUAGGUUAUAGAGAUGAAUAUUGCUGGAAAAGAUAAACUUGGCUACCUGAAUGGAGAUAUGCCUACUCCACCACUGACCGAUCCAACCUUUCGUAGGUGGCGCAUGGAAAACGCCAUUGUCAAAGGCUGGAUCUUAAACUCAUUGGACCACUCUCUCAUUGGCAACUUCAUCCGGUUCUCCACUGCACAUGAAGUUUGAGAUGCAAUUGCAACUACCUUUUUUGAUGGGAAUGACACUUCACAAGUAUAUGAACUUCGGCGAAGAGUGGCACGGUUGAGACAAACAGGCAGCUCCAUUGAGAAAUACUACACGGCUUUACAACGGUUGUGGCGUGAAAUCAAUUAUCGCUGUCCCAAUCCAAUGGUUUGCUCCAAAGACAUCCACAAUUACAAUAAAUUGGUGCAAGAGGAUCGAGUUUAUACCUUUUUGGAUGGCCUUGAUGAUAGGCUCGAUAACAUCAGGGCAAGUAUUUUACAGAUGAAACCAUUUCCCUCACUUGAGCAAGCUUAUGCACAUGUCCGUUGGGAGGCCCUUUGAUAAGCAGUGAUGACCACAGAUGCACAUGUCCGUUGGGAGGCCCUUUGAUAAGCAGUGAUGACCACAGAUGCCGACAAUCCUCUAGGAGCAGUUCUAGUUUCAAAAGGAAUGAAACUUGGACGUUCAUCUCUGGGCUCUAGAAAGCAAGUUGAGUUUAAUAAAAUCAAGGGAAUGGGGUUGAAUGAAAAGUGCUCCUAUUGUGGAAAUUCUAAACACGCACGUGAAAACUGCUUUAAGCUCAAUGGAUACCCGGAAUGGUGGCACGAACUACAAAAAAAAGGAAUGGGGAUGGCACUGAUAAACGAACAGGCAAAGCAGCAUUGGCAACGGCAGAGCCACAAUUAUCCCUAAUCUCUCAUAUUGACCCCUCACAAGAUGAGAACACUACCUCGAGUCUAGGUAACCUUUGUUCAGUUCUUAUUACGCAUCCUAGUGACAAGAAUAAUGAUGGACGGUUGCUUGACUUUGGGGCCACCGAUCAUACGACAUAAGAUGCUAAUGACUUUAUUUGGUCAGCCCUUCCUCGACGCAUUAGUGUCGCAAAUGCUAAUGGGGAUAUUUCUACGGUCAGAGGGACUGGCUCUGUAUCCGUGUCUUCUUCUCUACACUUAUCUAAUACUUUACUAGUGCCUUCGCUUUCGCAUAAAUUAUUAUCUGUAAAUCAAGUAACUAUGGAGUUAAAUUGUGAAGUACUGAUCUAUCCUACCUUGUCUUCUUCAGGAUAUUCUCAUUGAUUAGUGUAAUUCACUCAUUAAACUAACGCCUCUAAAUCAUGGGUUUUAGCUUGUUCUUAAGCACUUUUGAAUGUUUUGAUGUGUGUGUUCAUGUUGUUUUGCAGCUAAAUCAACAUUCGAGAAAACAUCACAAUUGGGAGCUUGUGAUGAAUCUAAAAUGGUGGUCAUAAAAUGGGGGCAUGAGUUAGAGAUAAGAAAAGAGGAUUGCAAUGGGAAAGCAGCUUAGAAGAUGAGCAUUCAAGUAAGGAGUAGUCUGUUAGGCGCCACGGUGCCCAGAGUAAAAAG